CCCGGCGGCGCCAUUUCCUGCCAACCCGGAAGCAGAUCUCCGGGACUAGCGGCCCGGCUCACCGAGUGAGUUUCAAUAGUUCGCGUCCAAACUCGCGCGCUGACGCGCUCGGCGCCGGGUGCUGCACACUCCCGGGCCCCCGCGGCUGUUGCCGUCCCAGCCGCGGGGAGCCCCGCCUAGCCUGGAGGCGCUCUGCCGCGGGGGCCGGACCCACACCUGUUUCUGAGUCUGUCAGCUUUGGAAGAUGCUAGUUGAACAUUCUGCUCCAUGGAGACAUGUACCUGACAUCUUACAGCCUUUGCCUGCUUAAUGCUUGGACUGUCUGUGAGGAAAACCCAGAGAAAGACUGCUGGCAACUCAGUUAUUGACAAUGCAGCCAUUGGUGAGUAGGGAAUGCCUUUUUCUGCUGAAACUGCAUACUCUGCUCCUGAGAGGAUAUGGGCAGGUUUCUCUUAUUGGAUGGAUGUUCUUCUAGGUGCAAUCAAAAAGUAUUCAUGGGUCUGAGCACCAGUGAAAUGUAAUAGCUAGUCUCCUUCCUAACAUCAAACUGAUUUAUUUCAGCCUCCAUGCAGCUUGUGUAUUUAUAGAAGAG
Molecule: long non-coding RNA, 592 nt
Filed under: Moschus moschiferus (Siberian musk deer)
Lineage: Eukaryota; Metazoa; Chordata; Mammalia; Artiodactyla; Moschidae
Description: lncRNA (ENSMMSG00000001670.1)
Source: RNAcentral